CAAACGACUCUCGGCAACGGAUAUCUCGGCUCUCGCAUCGAUGAAGAACGUAGCGAAAUGCGAUACUUGGUGUGAAUUGCAGAAUCCCGUGAACCAUCGAGUUUUUGAACGCAAGUUGCGCCCGAAGCCGUCAGGCCAAGGGCACGUCUGCCUGGGCGUCACGC
RNAcentral lists this ribosomal RNA (164 nucleotides) under Fleroya rubrostipulata. RNAcentral describes it as "5.8S ribosomal RNA". It matches the Rfam family "5.8S ribosomal RNA". From Rfam's summary of the family: 5.8S ribosomal RNA (5.8S rRNA) is a component of the large subunit of the eukaryotic ribosome. The record is from RNAcentral. Lineage: Eukaryota; Viridiplantae; Streptophyta; Magnoliopsida; Gentianales; Rubiaceae.